AGUGAACGCUGGCGAUAGGCCUAACACAUGCAAGUCGAACGGCAGCACAGGAGAGCUUGCUCUCUGGGUGGCGAGUGGCGGACGGGUGAGGAAUACAUCGGAAUCUACUCUGUCGUGGGGGAUAACGUAGGGAAACUUACGCUAAUACCGCAUACGACCUACGGGUGAAAGCAGGGGACCCUCGGGCCUUGCACGAAUGAAUGAGUCGAUGUCGGAUUAGCUAGUUGGCGGGGUAAAGGCCCACCAAGGCGACGAUCCGUAGCUGGUCUGAGAGGAUGAUCAGCCACACUGGAACUGAGACACGGUCCAGACUCCUACGGGAGGCAGCAGUGGGGAAUAUUGGACAAUGGGCGCAAGCCUGAUCCAGCCAUACCGCGUGGGUGAAGAAGGCCUUCGGGUUGUAAAGCCCUUUUGUUGGGAAAGAAAUCCAGCUGGCUAAUACCCGGUUGGGAUGACGGUACCCAAAGAAUAAGCACCGGCUAACUUCGUGCCAGCCGCCGCCGUAA
RNAcentral lists this ribosomal RNA (506 nucleotides) under uncultured bacterium. RNAcentral's name for it is "partial 16S ribosomal RNA". It matches the Rfam family "Bacterial small subunit ribosomal RNA", at positions 29 to 523 of the family's 1533-position model. The record is from RNAcentral.